This 271-nucleotide ribosomal RNA is filed under the name uncultured bacterium. RNAcentral's name for it is "partial 16S ribosomal RNA". It matches the Rfam family "Bacterial small subunit ribosomal RNA", at positions 524 to 794 of the family's 1533-position model. The record is from RNAcentral.
UACGGAGGGUGCAAGCGUUAAUCGGAAUUACUGGGCGUAAAGCGCGCGUAGGCGGUUUGUUAAGUCGGAUGUGAAAUCCCCGAGCUCAACUUGGGAACUGCAUCCGAUACUGGCUUGCUAGAGUGUGGUAGAGGGAAGUGGAAUUCCAGGUGUAGCGGUGAAAUGCGUAGAUAUCUGGAGGAACACCCGUGGCGAAGGCGGCUCUCUGGUCCGAAACUGACGCUGAGGUGCGAAAGCUAGGGUAGCAAACAGGAUUAGAAACCCCAGUAGU